Molecule: long non-coding RNA, 1368 nt
Filed under: Homo sapiens (human)
Lineage: Eukaryota; Metazoa; Chordata; Mammalia; Primates; Hominidae
Description: HSALNT0298066
Source: RNAcentral
GAUGUGAGGACACAUAGAGCAUGCCAUCUAUGAGAAACGGGCUCUCAUCAGACACUGAAUCUGCUGGCACGUUGACCUUGGACUUUCCAGCCUCCAGAACUGUUCCCAUAGAAGAAAUGGUUUCCAGAAUGCAGAAGUGGUCCAUGAUGCCAGAUGUUGCAGAAAGAGCAAAUAAGGAGAAAAAGAAUCCUGCCCAGGAGGCCUCCCACCCCGACAUAGGAGGGCACCACCCACAUGGCAUCAGCCUGCAGCUGAUUUCAUAUUCCAUGCUCAUGACAUAGUACCUUAUAGGACAUGUCACAACUCACGCCUUCCCCUUAUCCGCCAUCGGGGAUAGAACAGAAAGACAUAAGCACCGGCAUGGGCCUAUUCCACAGCCAAGGCAGGCAAUGAGCUCUCAGGUACUUGCAACAAACUCGAGUGUGCAUUCGGUCCAGGAGGAAGAGCCCGCACCCUUUUUUGUUGCUGUUCAGUGUUAAUCCUUCGGUGGAACCCACCAGGACAGCAGUCUCAGUGCUGUUGUUUUUGACAGGGAGAACAUCCCAGGGCAGAAAGGAAAGCCUAAAGCUACAGCCUGUUCCUCUAGUUCUUAGAACAGCUGGUUACUGAGCUCUCAGGCCAGACACUGGAUCCCGGAGAGCUUGUCCACUGCAACAGUGCAACACGCUAAGGGCUGUGUGGCGGCACAGGGGCUCUGAGCUCCUGACCUGAGUCAUGGGGACCUGAAGGCUGACACCCAGCCCUAUACCUACAAGCUGGGUGAGACCCCUGGCAGUUGCCUACACCCCUGCUGAGACCCAGUACCUCCCUGUAAAAUGGGGGAAAUAAUGCCUGCCUCACAGGGUUUCGAUGAAGGGAAACAUUUGGAAACCCCUUGGAGGAGAUCUGCCACAUGGCCUCCAGUGAACUGUAGACUCCUGCAUAGCCUUCCAAAGUUCUUCAUUUGGUGAAUAUUAUGAGAAAUGACACCGAGGUGACUGGCACAUGGUCGAGGCAGCUGCUUAGGCAGCUUAAGCAUGCCCUGUGAAACAUCCCUGUGGGGGACUCCGACCAGCCCAGGCAACGCGGAUCCUGAGAACGCUCCCGGGUAGGCAUCUGCCCCUGUGGGAUGCCUCACCAGAGCAGUGUGUGGCAGGCCCCCGUGGAGGACCAACACAGUGGCUGAACACCGGGAAGGAACAGGAUCUUGGAGUCUGGACAUCUAAAACUUGCACAUGUACCACCCCUAGAAUUUCUGGUAAACCAGCACCAGCCUGAAGAUCACGUUCUCAUCAAACGGUGGAAAGAAGAAAAACUCGAGCCAACCUAGGAAGGACCCCACCUUGUGCUGCUAACCACCAAGACUGCUGUUUGUACAGAAAAAAAAAA